AUGGGGUGGAACUACCCGGACAUAUCCUUGGACGAACUUGUGAAACUUACAAAAGGGUUUGUGGAUAUACUUAUUCUGGCAUCUGGGUACCAGUCCUCUGGUCUUAUUGCCCACUGGGAUCCUCAAAACAUCAAGAAAGCCUUCCAGUGGGGCCACUUCUUUGAAAAUGUAUUCAGCCAUUUAAGCAGCUCGGAUGUUUAUCAGGAGUCGGUGAAGGAACUUGACAAAACUCUUUCUGAACUGACUUCCAGCGCCUCUUUCCCCCAGGGUCUUGCACAUCUAUCAUCUGCUACUCUUGCAAAUGCACAACGAUUUGUGUUAGAACAUCUUAUCCAUGUUCUACCUUUGAGUGAUGCACAUCUCAGAGCCUUUCUGACUGCAACAAUUGAGAUGGAGUUUGAUCAGCUAUCUGGAACAGAGCAUAAUUGCCUAGAUGCAUAUCUGAACAAGUUGACUCUGCAUAAGACAUCACUAAUUCCAGCUCCAGAUAAAAAGGGUUUCAUGAAGGAUUUAGUUCUUUUGUCUCCAGAUAUUGCUCCAAUUAAGGAUUUUACGAAGUAUGCUGUUCAUGAGAUCUUGAAGAGGCGAUGUGCUGUGUCUUGCAUAUCAACAGUUGAGACAGGCUUAGAUAUUCUCUCAAAUGCCAUCAGACGCAGUAGCCUAUCGGACAAUAACUUAAUCAAUGAAAGACUACAUGAAGAAAAAGCUCCAAUGACUAUAGAGUUAUUGCUGGAUUUCAUCACAUGGAACCACUGGAAAUCAAGAAAUAUCUCAUAUUUCAUUGAUAAAAGAACUCUUAGAUUAGUCUCCGGUGCUAGCUUGAUAUUCUGUGGUCCCAAGGACCAGUGGAUGAAAGUUUUUCAAGGGCUGAAUAUUUCAGCCAAAAGAAGUGAUAAAGAUUUUAGUGAAACAAUUGAGCUCUUGUUACUUGGAUGCAUUGCAAGCAGGUGGAACUGUGUAAUUGAACAUUUCAUGUCCAUUUCUUAUUUUUCGCUUACUAUCUCGGAGCAAUAUCGUCAGGUGUGCUGCUUAGUUAUGGGAAGAUCCCAAACUCUUAAUGCUAGAGAGCAAACAACGAACUCAAAGGAAAGUGGCAUUCUCGAGUACCUGACUGGACAGUUGGGUAGUCAACAGCAUCAAUUAUGGAAACUAUCCCCUGCCCUUGCAGCAGCUGCAAUUCCAACCUGGUCACCCUUAUUAAGGUUGUAUAUGACUGAAAUGGAGAUUCAAUUCAAAGGAGAUUUUUCUGCAAUAAGAUACUGCAAUUGUACUCAAGACAUGAAGGAACACAAAAACUGUGAACUUGCUGAGAGAAUUUGGUGCCUCUACGUCUUUCAUGUUUGUGGCUCUCAUCUACUGCACGGUGCUGGUAGUGCUUGAUUGUUGGCUAGUUUAUUGUAAGAACCUGUAUUCUACACACACUUUAGUAUGACUGUCGUUUCAUACUUGGAGCAUGGAAUGUAGAAUUGUUUUUCUGAGUUCUACUCAAUCGGGAGUCUUUGUGCUUACCUUUUUUCAAGCAAAUUCUUUACAGAGCUCAAAUUUCCAGUUGGAGCUGACUUUCCUUUUGUAGAUGCUAAACGUAAAAGAAAACAACUUCAAAACCGAAAAUAGUUUUUUGCACUUGUAAUCAAAUGUGAGUGCAGUAGGGUGUUUCUGGGUGGGAUAGUGCAGAAGGAAAUGAGUCUCUAGAAAUGCCAGAGAACUUCUGGCAGUUCUCAGGCAUGUUGGUAUGGUCAGUAUGAAUAUUUACGUAAGAGAAGACCUCAUCCUACUUUUGUUUCAGUGACGCUGGAAGGAAAGUCACAGAGAACAAGUGGUAGCAACUUUGUGGAAGGUCAUCCAUUCUGAAAAGUGCUCAAUCAAUACUAAUGACUUUACAUCACUAGAUGCUAGUUUUCAACACUCUACAAGUUGGGACCAUUCUGACCAUUUUAGGAAAGCCGAGUCAGAUGGAUGGUUGAUGGUAAUGAUUCUAAUCUCUCCCAAAUGGGAGAGUACAAGUAACAUGUGAUACCUACCACUGAAAAUUGACACUAGAAAAAGCAGCAAUAUUCAUGUUUUCUUUUGAUAAUCUUGGUGCCUCAUUGCUUCCAGACACAAGCUUUGCUUUCAACAAUACACAGCUGUUGGUGAGAAAGGAGCUACAACGAAAAAAUCAUCUCUAGCUUGAGGAGACUCGAAUUCUUGAAGUUAAUGAAGCAAAAUUCGAGUGCGGGGUCUGCAGUCACACUUUUAAAUUUCAAAAGAAGAGCACUGUUGGAUUGUAACCGUGGAUCAUCUCUCUUGUGGCAGUCGGUUUGGAAGUGUAAGUCAUUGUGGAAGCAAAAUUUCGGUUGGCAAAGGAGCAAGGCAAAGUACAGCUAUGAUCUUCGAAGCUAUACUCUGAACUUUGAUGAUGGUUUCUUCAAUGACUCUUUCUCAUAUCAUGGUUCCCAUUGAUUUUUGUUUUCCUUUUUAAAAUAAUCUAUCUGUUUUUGUUAGAUUUGUUAUGGUUUCUUCUUCAGAGGAGAGGUGAUUUGUGAAAAAUAUACACAAGGUUUUAUUGAAGACGUUGUGGGUUGUUAUUAUAGCUGCGCAAGUUUCACAAA
Carya illinoinensis is the source of this 2591-nucleotide RNA transcript. RefSeq lists it as uncharacterized. NCBI's taxonomy places the organism in Eukaryota, Viridiplantae, Streptophyta, Magnoliopsida, Fagales, Juglandaceae. The record is from RefSeq and is a predicted model, not a curated record. The transcript is spliced from 10 exons.